This 164-nucleotide ribosomal RNA is filed under the name Reinwardtiodendron celebicum. Its description in RNAcentral is "5.8S ribosomal RNA". It matches the Rfam family "5.8S ribosomal RNA". Rfam says of the family: 5.8S ribosomal RNA (5.8S rRNA) is a component of the large subunit of the eukaryotic ribosome. It is transcribed by RNA polymerase I as part of the 45S precursor that also contains 18S and 28S rRNA. The record is from RNAcentral. Lineage: Eukaryota; Viridiplantae; Streptophyta; Magnoliopsida; Sapindales; Meliaceae.
AGAACGACUCUCGGCAACGGAUAUCUCGGCUCUCGCAUCGAUGAAGAACGUAGCGAAAUGCGAUACUUGGUGUGAAUUGCAGAAUCCCGUGAACCAUCGAGUCUUUGAACGCAAGUUGCGCCCCAAGCCGUUAGGCCGAGGGCACGUCUGCCUGGGUGUCACGC